Molecule: ribosomal RNA, 620 nt
Filed under: uncultured Russula
Lineage: Eukaryota; Fungi; Basidiomycota; Agaricomycetes; Russulales; Russulaceae
Description: eukaryotic LSU rRNA
Rfam family: 5.8S ribosomal RNA (bases 183-336)
Source: RNAcentral
ACAACCGAGGUGCAAAGGCUGUCGCUGACCCUCAAAGGUUGUGCACGCCCGAGCGCUCUCACACAAUCCAUCUCACCUUUGUGCAUCACCGCGUGGGUCCCCUUUGCGGGAGGGCUCGCGUUUUCACAUAAUAACUCGAUACAGUGUAGAAUGUUUCUUUUGCGGUCACACGCAAUCAAUACAACUUUCAACAACGGAUCUCUUGGCUCUCGCAUCGAUGAAGAACGCAGCGAAAUGCGAUACGUAAUGUGAAUUGCAGAAUUCAGUGAAUCAUCGAAUCUUUGAACGCACCUUGCGCCCCUUGGCAUUCCGAGGGGCACACCCGUUUGAGUGUCGUGAAUUCUUCAAAACCCUCUUUUCUUCGAACCAUCGUGGUCGGGAAAAGGAUUUUUGGACUUGGAGGUUUAAUGCUCGCCCUUUCUUUUGAAAGCGAGCUCCUCUCAAAUGAAUUAGAGGGGUCCGCUUUGCUGAUCCUUGACGUGAUAAAAUGUUUCUACGUUUUGGGUUUAGCACUGUCGCUUGNNUGCCUGCUCCUAACCCGUCUCAUUGACAAUGAUGGUGCUCUGGUCACUGCCGUCUACAUCGGCGGGAGGCUGGACCCACAAAAAGAAAANCCUUGA